GNUNANNGCCGGCGUGCUAUACAUGCAAGUCGAGCGGACGGAUGGGAGCUUGCUCCCUGAAGUCAGCGGCGGACGGGUGAGUAACACGUGGGCAACCUGCCUGUAAGACUGGGAUAACUCCGGGAAACCGGGGCUAAUACCGGAUAACUCUUUUCCUCACAUGAGGAAAAGCUGAAAGAUGGUUUCGGCUAUCACUUACAGAUGGGCCCGCGGCGCAUUAGCUAGUUGGUGAGGUAACGGCUCACCAAGGCCACAAUGCGUAGCCGACCUAAGAGGGUGAUCGGCCACUCUGGGACUGAUACACCGCCCAUACUUUUC
Molecule: ribosomal RNA, 318 nt
Filed under: Bacillus sp. HPCPS13
Lineage: Bacteria; Bacillati; Bacillota; Bacilli; Caryophanales; Bacillaceae
Description: bacterial SSU rRNA
Rfam family: Bacterial small subunit ribosomal RNA
Source: RNAcentral